RNAcentral lists this ribosomal RNA (514 nucleotides) under uncultured bacterium. Its description in RNAcentral is "partial 16S ribosomal RNA". It matches the Rfam family "Bacterial small subunit ribosomal RNA", at positions 28 to 523 of the family's 1533-position model. The record is from RNAcentral.
GAUGAACGCUGGCGGCGUGCCUAAUACAUGCAAGUCGAGCGAACAGAUGAGAAGCUUGCUUCUCUGAUGUUAGCGGCGGACGGGUGAGUAACACGUGGGUAACCUACCUAUAAGACUGGGAUAACUCCGGGAAACCGGGGCUAAUACCGGAUAAUAUUUUGAACCGCAUGGUUCAAUAGUGAAAGACGGUUUCGGCUGUCACUUAUAGAUGGACCCGCGCCGUAUUAGCUAGUUGGUAAGGUAACGGCUUACCAAGGCGACGAUACGUAGCCGACCUGAGAGGGUGAUCGGCCACACUGGAACUGAGAAACGGUCCAGACUCCUACGGGAGGCAGCAGUAGGGAAUCUUCCGCAAUGGGCGAAAGCCUGACGGAGCAACGCUGCGUGAGUGAUGAAGGUCUUCGGAUCGUAAAACUCCGUUGUUAGGGAAGAACAAAUUUGUUAGUAACUGAACAAGUCUUGACGGUACCUAACCAGAAAGCCACGGCUAACUACGUGCCAGCCGCCGCGGUAA